GUGUCUGUAAAUGGAAUCUGCUUAAAGGAAUGUGGCUAAUGCACAUUGGUCCUUCUGUUUUUGAGUCUCCUAACCUUUUGAUGGUCUGUCUGUGUGGCUUUGCUUGGGCUGCAGGUCCCCGUGUUCUUUAUUUUUCCAUGGAUCAUAAAUCUGCACUGAAUUGGAGGCUGACUGAGACCCACUGAUGCCCAAAUCAACUCUUCUAGAAAGAAAGAGUACUCCACACCACGAAACGUAUCUCCUAAUAUUUCAUUGUCCUCCAGAAAAAUAGGGGGAGACACUAGCAAUUCUCUCAGCAAGGCCCCUUGAAUUUACCUCUAAUUCAGCUCAUGAGCGGCCACUCCUCCAUCAUCUUUGGAUUUUAUUCUUGGACAUAGAGUGUGAACAGCAAUAAGGUUCCUUAUCAGCCUAGAGUGUCCUAUGUCUGGCUCAAUGACUUCCACACUAAACGUUUCCCAGGUCAUGGUGAAAGACCCUCAUGGGAAUCCCUUGUGAGGCUUUUUGGUCCUCUGAAAGGAAUCAUUGAACAUUGCUUGGACUCCAGCACAAGACAGCUUGUUAUCUCAGGAGAGCCUUGAUUUUCUUUUGCUCUGAUGUGGAAUCCAAAGUGUCUCUCAACAGCACUACUGGACACAAUUUUUAGGCAUGACAUCAACACAGAUGGUUUCUGUGACAAUGACUCAACUUCAUCUGCACCAGUGAGAGGCCAGUCUGAUGUGUGAGAACACUGCUCCACCUUGGACUUGUCUUUGUCGUGGUUCCUGCCUUUCCCAGAUAG
This is a long non-coding RNA of Pan troglodytes (chimpanzee), 778 nucleotides long. RefSeq lists it as uncharacterized. The transcript is spliced from 3 exons. The record is from RefSeq and is a predicted model, not a curated record. Lineage: Eukaryota; Metazoa; Chordata; Mammalia; Primates; Hominidae.